This 405-nucleotide ribosomal RNA is filed under the name uncultured bacterium. RNAcentral describes it as "bacterial SSU rRNA". It matches the Rfam family "Bacterial small subunit ribosomal RNA", at positions 976 to 1380 of the family's 1533-position model. The record is from RNAcentral.
UGGGCUCGAAAUAUAGAGGACGACGUCAGAGAUGACGUUUCUCGAAAGGGUCUUUAUAUAGGUGCUGCAUGGCUGUCGUCAGCUCGUGCCGUGAGGUGUUUGGUUAAGUCCAGCAACGAGCGCAACCCUUAUCGUUAGUUGCCAGCGCGUAAUGGCGGGAACUCUAACGAGACUGCCUGGGUUAACCAGGAGGAAGGUGAGGAUGACGUCAAGUCCGCAUGGCCUUUAUGUCCAGGGCUACACACGUGCUACAAUGGUCGGUACAGAAGGCAGCGAAACCGUAAGGUGAAGCAAAUCCUCUAAAACCGAUCUCAGUUCAGAUUGUAGUCUGCAACUCGGCUACAUGAAGUUGGAAUUGCUAGUAAUGGCGUGUCAGCAACAACGCCGUGAAUACGUUCCCGGGCC